RNAcentral lists this unclassified non-coding RNA (363 nucleotides) under uncultured fungus. Its description in RNAcentral is "partial contains 5.8S ribosomal RNA, internal transcribed spacer 2, and large subunit ribosomal RNA". The record is from RNAcentral. Lineage: Eukaryota; Fungi.
AACGCACAUUGCGCCCUUUGGCAUUCCAAAGGGCACGCCUGUUUGAUGGCCUGCAACAUAGGAUGUUGUCGAUGGUUUCGGCUAUUUGACACGUCCGUUCCUGGACUUUUAUCCCGGGUACGGGAAGUCUUAAAAUAUUUCUCAUUUGAGCACUCCUGACGCACGAAUCGUGGUCAGCAAAAUGUGUGCGGUAGACAUGGCGGAAUUUUCUUCGUAACUGGAGGAUUUGUGCACAUGAUCUGCUAGCACAGGGGGAGUUUGUGCCCCACAUUUUGCUGUAUGGCCCUUUUUGUGUAAGGGACACAGUGCUCCUUUGUUUCCUCAAUUGCCAUCAAAUCAGGUGGGACUACCCGCUGAACUUAA